UAAUAAAAGUGUUUUAUGGCACUUUUCAAACAAAUCCAUAUCCACCUUGUGUGCGAUGUUUUUUUUUUUUAAAUAAACACUUAUUUUUUAAUUGCCAAUUUAUCUGAAGAUCAGUAUUAUUAUGAAUUAACUUAAUUCAAAAUA
This 144-nucleotide unclassified non-coding RNA is filed under the name soil metagenome. RNAcentral describes it as "partial internal transcribed spacer 1". The record is from RNAcentral.